UGGGUUAGUAGGAGAUCAUGCCUAGAUUUGAGGGGGGAUAUUAUUUGAUUUUAUUUUUAUUUUUAUUUUUAUCAAAAAUUUAUUUCUCUCUUUUAAAAAAAUUUUGACGCCAGUUGUGCUCCCAUUUUCUCUCCACUUUUAUCUUCUUUUUGGUUUUUUCCUUUCCAUUCUCUUUGGUUUUGGUGGUGAAUUUUUCAUUCAAUCGUUGUUGUUGGGAUUUUGAGUUCUUCAUUAUGAUUUGGUAAG
RNAcentral lists this long non-coding RNA (246 nucleotides) under Gossypium raimondii (Peruvian cotton). RNAcentral's name for it is "long non-coding RNA (GRAI_LNC004728)". Lineage: Eukaryota; Viridiplantae; Streptophyta; Magnoliopsida; Malvales; Malvaceae. The record is from RNAcentral.